UCCAGACUCCUACGGGAGGCAGCAGUGGGGAAUAUUGCACAAUGGGGGAAACCCUGAUGCAGCGACGCCGCGUGAGUGAAGAAGUAUUUCGGUACGUAAAGCUCUCUCAGCAGGGAAGAAAAAAAGUCCUUUGGACUUUGGACGGUACCUGACCAAGAAGCCCCGGCUAACUACGUGCCAGCAGCCGCGGUAAUACGUAGGGGGCGAGCGUUAUCCGGAUUUACUGGGUGUAAAGGGAGCGUAGACGGUUCUGCAAGUCUGAAGUGAAAGCCCGUGGCUUAACCGCGGAACGGCUUUGGAAACUGUGGAACUGGAGUGCUGGAGAGGCAAGCGGAAUUCCUAGUGUAGCGGUGAAAUGCGUAGAUAUUAGGAGGAACACCAGUGGCGAAGGCGGCUUGCUGGACAGUAACUGACGUUGAGGCUCGAAAGCGUGGGGAGCAAACAGGAUUAGAUACCCCAGUAAC
Molecule: ribosomal RNA, 464 nt
Filed under: uncultured bacterium
Lineage: Bacteria
Description: bacterial SSU rRNA
Rfam family: Bacterial small subunit ribosomal RNA
Source: RNAcentral